Cricetulus griseus (Chinese hamster) is the source of this 65-nucleotide non-coding RNA. The record is from Rfam. Lineage: Eukaryota; Metazoa; Chordata; Mammalia; Rodentia; Cricetidae.
GUGGUACUCAAACGAUGGCAGCACUUUUGUUCUGGAAUAAAGUGCCGCCAGGUUUUGAGUGUUAC